CCAACCUGGGAGACAGAGUGAGACUCCGUCUCGGGGAAAAAGUAAUAAUUUAGAAAAAAAAGUAAAUAAAUUAAAUCAUUCUUUUUUCUAGUUCUUUGAACUCCCCAAAGAGUUUAAAGGCCUGAAAUAGAUAUAGACACAGAUAUAUGUAAUCUUCAAUAUAUUAAUACUUAAAAUAUUUAAAUAUUUUAUAUACAAAUAAAAUUUAUAUCAAAUACCAGGAUAGUCUUACAGUGGCCAGGCUGGUCUCGAACUCCUGACCUCGUGAUCCGCCCGCCUCGGCCUCCCAAAGUGCUGGACUUAUAGGCGUGAGCCA
This 316-nucleotide long non-coding RNA is filed under the name Homo sapiens (human). Its description in RNAcentral is "non-protein coding lnc-RABEPK-3:1". Lineage: Eukaryota; Metazoa; Chordata; Mammalia; Primates; Hominidae. The record is from RNAcentral.